This 775-nucleotide ribosomal RNA is filed under the name uncultured Neocallimastigales. RNAcentral describes it as "partial large subunit ribosomal RNA". It matches the Rfam family "Eukaryotic large subunit ribosomal RNA", at positions 24 to 633 of the family's 3401-position model. Lineage: Eukaryota; Fungi; Neocallimastigomycota; Neocallimastigomycetes; Neocallimastigales. The record is from RNAcentral.
UGUAGUCUCGCACAGAUGCAUAUCAAUAAGCGGAGGAAAAGAAACUAACAAGGAUUCCCCUAGUAACGGCGAGUGAAGCGGGAAGAGCUCAAAUUUGAAAUCUUAAAGGGUUUCCCUUUACGAAUUGUAGUUUAAAGAAGUGUUUUCUGUUAAGGUUUUGGUAAAAGUUCUUUGGAAUAGGACAUCAUAGAGGGUGAGAAUCCCGUAUUUGACCUUUACUUUCAACUUUGUGAUACACUUUCAAAGAGUCGGAUUGUUUGGGAAUGCAGUCCAAAAUGGGUGGUAAAUUUCAUCUAAAGCUAAAUAUUGGCGAGAGACCGAUAGCGAACAAGUACCGUGAGGGAAAGAUGAAAAGAACUUUGAAAAGAGAGUUAAACAGUACGUGAAAUUGUCAAAAGGGAAGUGUUUGACACCAGUGUUGUUUUUCUGAAAAUCAAUUAAAGAACUGUUUAUGCUAAGCUGUUUAGACUUUAUCAGCUAACUGUUUAGUUUUGAGCUUUUCUUUAAUGCACUUUUCAGUUAACAAGUCAACAUCAAUUUCUUUUGCUGUAAAAAAGCUUGAGGAAGGUGGCUUGAGAUUCGUCUUAAGUGUUUAUAGCCUCUUGCCUAUGCAGUCGGAGAGAUUGAGGUCUGCAGCGUAGAUCCUUCGGGGCUAAAUGCAUUUGUGCUAAGUUAUAGCAUUUUAUAGACAACUUGUUGACUAUGAUUUGUCUUGUAGCUUACUCGCUUAUGUUAUUUUACCUACGCUUAGGAUGUUGAAGACUCUACAGAGAUA